UACGUAGGGGGCAAGCGUUAUCCGGAUUCACUGGGUGUAAAGGGAGCGUAGACGGCGACGCAAGUCUGGAGUGAAAGCCCGGGGCCCAACCCCGGGACUGCUCUGGAAACUGCGGCGCUGGAGUACGGGAGGGGCAGGCGGAAUUCCUGGUGUAGCGGUGAAAUGCGUAGAUAUCAGGAGGAACACCGGCGGCGAAGGCGGCCUGCUGGACCGUGACUGACGUUGAGGCUCGAGAGCGUGGGGAGCAAACAGG
This 253-nucleotide ribosomal RNA is filed under the name uncultured bacterium. Its description in RNAcentral is "partial 16S ribosomal RNA". It matches the Rfam family "Bacterial small subunit ribosomal RNA", at positions 524 to 776 of the family's 1533-position model. The record is from RNAcentral.